Molecule: ribosomal RNA, 253 nt
Filed under: uncultured bacterium
Lineage: Bacteria
Description: partial 16S ribosomal RNA
Rfam family: Bacterial small subunit ribosomal RNA
Source: RNAcentral
UACGAAGGGAGCUAGCGUUGUUCGGAAUCACUGGGCGUAAAGCGCGCGUAGGCGGCCCUGUAAGUCCGCUGUGAAAGUCAAAGGCUCAACCUUUGAAUGCCGGUGGAUACUGGCGACCUUGAGUCCGGGAGAGGUGAGUGGAACUGCGAGUGUAGAGGUGAAAUUCGUAGAUAUUCGCAAGAACACCAGUGGCGAAGGCGGCUCACUGGCCCGGUACUGACGCUGAGGUGCGAAAGCGUGGGGAGCAAACAGG